This 712-nucleotide ribosomal RNA is filed under the name uncultured Alphaproteobacteria bacterium. RNAcentral's name for it is "bacterial SSU rRNA". It matches the Rfam family "Bacterial small subunit ribosomal RNA", at positions 35 to 793 of the family's 1533-position model. The record is from RNAcentral. Lineage: Bacteria; Pseudomonadati; Pseudomonadota; Alphaproteobacteria.
GCUGGCGGCAGGCCUUAUACAUGCAAGUCGAGCGCAUCCUUCGGGAUGAGCGGCGGACGGGUGAGUAACGCGUGGGAAUGUGCCCUUCUCUACGGAAUAGCCACUGGAAACGGUGAGUAAUACUGUAUACGCCCUUAGGGGGAAAGAUUUAUCGGAGAAGGAUCAGCCCGCGUUAGAUUAGGUAGUUGGUGGGGUAACGGCCUACCAAGCCUACGAUCUAUAGCUGGUUUUAGAGGAUGAUCAGCCACACUGGGACUGAGACACGGCCCAGACUCCUACGGGAGGCAGCAGUAGGGAAUCUUGGACAAUGGGGGAAACCCUGAUCCAGCCAUGCCGCGUGAGUGAAGAAGGCCUUAGGGUCGUAAAGCUCUUUCGCCUGUGAUGAUAAUGACAGUAGCAGGUAAAGAAACCCCGGCUAACUCCGUGCCAGCAGCCGCGGUAAUACGGAGGGGGUUAGCGUUGUUCGGAAUUACUGGGCGUAAAGCGCGCGUAGGCGGAUUGGAAAGUUGGGGGUGAAAUCCCGGGGCUCAACCCCGGAACUGCCUCCAAAACUGCCAGUCUAGAGUUCGAGAGAGGUGAGUGGAACUCCAAGUGUAGAGGUGAAAUUCGUAGAUAUUUGGAAGAACACCAGUGGCGAAGGCGGCUCACUGGCUCGAUACUGACGCUGAGGUGCGAAAGUGUGGGGAGCAAACAGGAUUAGAUACCCUGGUAG